GGCCGCCUGGCGAAAUGGCAUCGCGUCUGACUACGAAUCAAGUACAUAUAUGUAGACGAAUCAGGAGAUUGCAGGUUCGACCCCUGCGGUGGUCA
RNAcentral lists this transfer RNA (95 nucleotides) under Lentinula boryana. RNAcentral describes it as "tRNA-Arg". It matches the Rfam family "tRNA". Rfam says of the family: Transfer RNA (tRNA) molecules are approximately 80 nucleotides in length. Their secondary structure includes four short double-helical elements and three loops (D, anti-codon, and T loops). The record is from RNAcentral. Lineage: Eukaryota; Fungi; Basidiomycota; Agaricomycetes; Agaricales; Omphalotaceae.